Mauremys mutica (yellowpond turtle) is the source of this 606-nucleotide long non-coding RNA. RefSeq lists it as uncharacterized. The record is from RefSeq and is a predicted model, not a curated record. The transcript is spliced from 4 exons. NCBI's taxonomy places the organism in Eukaryota, Metazoa, Chordata, Testudines, Geoemydidae.
UAGAAAAGUUGCAUCAUCAGAAGUUUAAAGUGCAAUCAUUUUUAGACAGGAGUAAUGAAGCAAUCGUGUGAAGUAGACAAAAGAGAUGCCUGACCAUGCAAGAAUCAAACUAAAGUCAACAACAAACUCUAUACGAGACACAGGUCAUCUUUUCUGCACAGCAACUUUACACAACUGUUGAAGGAAGGAAGUGAAGAAAGUGGAUUGUCUUACUCAGAUAUAUCGUACCAACAACUCUCUUAGCUAGUCUGAUUUGUGCUUUAACUGGUUAUCAGCAGAGGAAGUUUGAGAAAGAAUCAAGGGAGGACAUACCGAGGAGUCCUGCAGCACAGCAACAAUGAAGAAUCCAUUGAAAGUAUAUUCUUAAUUUGUUUAAUUAUAUCCUGUCACUUGAAUGCCAAAGAGAGGAUAUAUAUUGGCAUAGAAGCUAGACUACUUAUGUACCCUACAUUCUGAUCCUGCAUUUGACUCUAAGAUCUUUAGGCAGACCCCCCUAAAACAGUGGUCCCCAAUGCAGUGCCCGCGGGCGCCAUGGUGCCCACCGGGGCAUUUAUGUGCGCCCGCCUAGUGCCCAGCAGGUGAGAGAAGCUGCGGCCCUGUGCCUGC